GUGGGGAAUAUUGGACAAUGGGCGCAAGCCUGAUCCAGCCAUGCCGCGUGAGUGAUGAAGGCCUUAGGGUUGUAAAGCUCUUUCACCGGUGAAGAUAAUGACGGUAACCGGAGAAGAAGCCCCGGCUAACUUCGUGCCAGCAGCCGCGGUAAUACGAAGGGGGCUAGCGUUGUUCGGAAUUACUGGGCGUAAAGCGCACGUAGGCUGAUAUUUAAGUCAGGGGUGAAAUCCCGGGGCUCAACCCCGGAACUGCCUUUGAUACUGGGUAUCUUGAGUAUGGAAGAGGUCAGUGGAAUUGCGAGUGUAGAGGUGAAAUUCGUAGAUAUUCGCAGGAACACCAGUGGCGAAGGCGGCUGACUGGUCCAUUACUGACGCUGAGGUGCGAAAGCGUGGGGAGCAAACAGGAUUAGAUACCCGUGUAGUCC
RNAcentral lists this ribosomal RNA (425 nucleotides) under uncultured bacterium. RNAcentral describes it as "bacterial SSU rRNA". It matches the Rfam family "Bacterial small subunit ribosomal RNA", at positions 354 to 796 of the family's 1533-position model. The record is from RNAcentral.